This 887-nucleotide long non-coding RNA is filed under the name Citrus maxima (pomelo). RNAcentral's name for it is "long non-coding RNA (CMAX_LNC003405)". The record is from RNAcentral. Lineage: Eukaryota; Viridiplantae; Streptophyta; Magnoliopsida; Sapindales; Rutaceae.
UUUCACUAACGUGUAUAUAAAGAGCAUGGCUUAAAGAGUUCAUAACAUCAUUACUUAAAAAUGAAUGCCAAUUCAGUUUUUCUCAUUUUCUUCUUGAUUCAUGGGCUGCUUCUUUCACAUAAUACUUACAUGAUCAAAGCCACUGGAAUUGUUUCCAAGUCGUCUUUGAAUGAAAUAUCUUCACAAGUUAUUAAUUUUCAUAAGUUGAAGAUGGUGUCACAUAGGUCGCUAAGAGUACGAAAUAUACGGCCAUCUCCACCGAUGAAAAAUAAUCCUCCUCACUGGUAUCGUACUCCUCCGCCAGCAAAGCGAUCACCACCACCACGACGGCGAUCACCACCACCACGACGGCCACCGGCACCGCCUCCACCACUGAAUUCAUAUUAGUAUCUCCAACUCUUCAACCAUAAGACAUUAGCAUGCAAAUUGCUUCGAUGGUUUGUCUUCCGAUAUUUUUUUUUUAUUAUAUAUGAUGUGUAAAUUUUCGUUAUAAUGAAAUAUUGUAAAUUACUGCCUGAAACAUCUAUUAUUACGAGGCCAACUCUCUUUAAAGAUCUUGGGGGUUCUCCUAGUUAUAUAGAUUCUUGUAUUUUGUUUAUGUCUUGGCUUUGGUUAUUUGCCUUCCGUAUCUUCAGCACUACAUAAGUUUUUCCGAGGAGAUUGUGCUCUCUUUUUUCCUUUUUUGCCGCCUCUUUAGUUUUUUUCUUUAUAAAUUUCCAAGCCUAGUAUUAAAAAAAGGGGUAAGAUGUGCCUGACUACUUGAUUGAAAUAAGAUGAUUUUUCUAAAUUUAUUUGCAGAACAAAAUUGAAACUAUGGUUAGAAGCUAUAAUAAAGUCAUAAUGAUCAGCAUAUCAAAAUUAAUGUAAAGCUUGUAAUAUAUUCCAAU